RNAcentral lists this ribosomal RNA (396 nucleotides) under uncultured soil bacterium. RNAcentral's name for it is "bacterial SSU rRNA". It matches the Rfam family "Bacterial small subunit ribosomal RNA", at positions 975 to 1368 of the family's 1533-position model. The record is from RNAcentral.
CAAGGCUUGACAUGGACCGGACCGGGCUGGAAACAGUCCUUCCCCUUUGGGGCCGGUUCACAGGUGGUGCAUGGUUGUCGUCAGCUCGUGUCGUGAGAUGUUGGGUUAAGUCCCGCAACGAGCGCAACCCUCGUUCCAUGUUGCCAGCGCGUAAUGGCGGGGACUCAUGGAAGACUGCCGGGGUCAACUCGGAGGAAGGUGGGGACGACGUCAAAUCAUCAUGCCCCUUAUGUCUUGGGCUUCACGCAUGCUACAAUGGCCGGUACAAAGGGUUGCGAUACUGUGAGGUGGAGCUAAUCCCAAAAAGCCGGUCUCAGUUCGGAUUGGGGUCUGCAACUCGACCCCAUGAAGUCGGAGUCGCUAGUAAUCGCAGAUCAGCAACGCUGCGGUGAAUAA